CCGCGGCGUUGGCAGAGUUUGAUCCUGGCUCAGAUUGAACGCUGGCGGCAUGCCUUACACAUGCAAGUCGAACGGCAGCACGGGGGGCGACCCCUGGUGGCGAGUGGCGAACGGGUGAGUAAUGCAUCGGAACGUGCCCGGUAGUGGGGGAUAACCCCGAGAAAUCGGGGCUAAUACCGCAUGAGCCCGGGAGGGGAAAGCGGGGGACCUGAUGAGGGCCUCGCGCUAUCGGAGCGGCCGAUGUCCGAUUAGCUGGUUGGUGGGGUAAAGGCCCACCAAGGCGACGAUCGGUAGCGGGUCUGAGAGGACGGCCCGCCACACUGGGACUGAGACACGGCCCAGACUCCUACGGGAGGCAGCAGUGGGGAAUUUUGGACAAUGGGCGAAAGCUGGAUCCAGCCAUGCCGCGUGCGGGAAGAAGGCCUUCGGGUUGUAAACCGCUUUCGGCCGGGACGAAAUCGCCCGCAUGAACAGUGUGGGUGGAUGACGGUACUGGCAGAAGAAGCACCGGCUAACUACGUGCCAGCAGCCGCGGUAAUACGUAGGGUGCGAGCGUUAAUCGGAAUUACUGGGCGUAAAGCGUGCGCAGGCGGCCCUUUAAGUCAGCUGUGAAAGCCCCGGGCUUAACCUGGGAAUGGCGCUUGAAACUGCG
This 652-nucleotide ribosomal RNA is filed under the name uncultured bacterium. RNAcentral's name for it is "bacterial SSU rRNA". It matches the Rfam family "Bacterial small subunit ribosomal RNA", at positions 1 to 637 of the family's 1533-position model. The record is from RNAcentral.